RNAcentral lists this ribosomal RNA (560 nucleotides) under uncultured Cytophaga sp. RNAcentral's name for it is "bacterial SSU rRNA". It matches the Rfam family "Bacterial small subunit ribosomal RNA", at positions 102 to 659 of the family's 1533-position model. The record is from RNAcentral. Lineage: Bacteria; Pseudomonadati; Bacteroidota; Cytophagia; Cytophagales; Cytophagaceae.
ACGGGUGCGUAACGCGUAUGCAACCUACCUUAUACAAAGGGAUAGCCCAUGGAAACGUGGAUUAAUACCUUAUGGUACUAUAAAGCUACCUAGUUUAAUAGUUAAAACUUCGGUGGUAUAAGAUGGGCAUGCGUAUGAUUAGAUAGUUGGUGAGGUAACGGCUCACCAAGUCAACGAUCAUUAGGGGUUCUGAGAGGAUUAUCCCCCACACUGGUACUGAGACACGGACCAGACUCCUACGGGAGGCAGCAGUGAGGAAUAUUGGUCAAUGGGCGAGAGCCUGAACCAGCCAUCCCGCGUGCAGGAUGACGGCCCUAUGGGUUGUAAACUGCUUUUGUAUGCCAAGAAAUCUGUCUACGUGUAGAUAGUUGACGGUAGCAUAUGAAUAAGGACCGGCUAACUCCGUGCCAGCAGCCCCGGUGAUACGGAGGGCCCCAGCGUUAUCCGGAGUCAUUGGGUUUAUAUGGCUGCGCAGGCGGGCUUGUAAGUCAGUGGUGCAAUCUUGCGCUUUAGGGUGGAGAUAGCCUUUGAUACUGCCACUCUUGGAUCUGGUUGAUGUA